UACAAGUGAUUUUCAAGUUCUUCCCAAAAUGGAGUCUCUCACUGUGUGCCAGAAGGUGGCGCCUGGUAAUCAGGAAGAAAGGAGGGGUCUUAAGCAUGAGUGGUCUAAAGGGAAAGCACACACAAGGAAAUGGCGUGGGGUAGAGAUCCCAAACUCCAAAUCUGUCAAGUUCAAGUGAACAGUGUGCCUUGGAGGUUCAAGGAACCAGCUCAGGUUCCUUGUUUGUAAGUUAACCUCCUACCUUUAAUAAGAGCUUGAGUAGUUAUGUCUGGUUGUGUUGAGUGGUGUGUUUGGUAUCCUUGGGACAGGUUCAAGUUGCUAGAGUUGUUGAACCUAGUUUCUGUCCCAUGAUACUUAAAUUGUGUGUGUUGCUCUGUUUCUUAAAUUAUUUCUAGGAGUUGUCUAGCAUAGUAUUGUCUAGUUCCUGUCCUAGAUUAAUUGUUUCUGUUUGUAUUGUGCUAGGCGAUUUGUUUAGCUACUGUCAUUGUCUUGUUGCAUUGAUAAAGGUCUAGGAGAGCCUCCUGAUCUUGUAUUGCAUUAUAUAUAUUGUUCAAGAUGAUUAGAUGAGUUGUUUAGUCUCUGUUUAUUGUCUUUAAAAUUCAUAAAAAGAGCCUAAUUGCCUUGUUAUUGAUGAGUUAUCAUACCUGAGCAGUUAGUGAUGUUAGUAUGCAUGGAGUUGAACUGAAUGAGUUGUUUAGAUUCUGUUCAUUGCAUAUUUCUUUUUAAAACAUUGGGAUCAGACUUGGUGAAUUAUCAAGGGCUGAUCCUAGUGUGUGUGGUCUGAUUCUUGCUGGAGUUUGAGUGAUGUUUCAGGUACACAAGAGGUGAUCUCUGUCCAUCAUCAAACUAAGACAAAGAAGAAGGCAUUGCCCACGUUUUUCAGAGCCUCCCAAGAUGGAUAUUCCUGAACCGUGGAGAUUGCCCAGUCCCAAAUCCUAUCUAUGUGUCUGCCCAUUUCCUACCCUGAAGAUAGAAAGGAUGUUGGAGAAUUGGAGAAACUGCUCAGAAGUGACUUACCUGAUGCCAAGAGGAUGUACAGGAGGUGCACUCAAGAGAAAAGGCCAUCACUAAGCCAAGAGUGGCCGGUGGUCAGAGGCAUGGAUCAAGGUGUUUAGUCCUGACCAUGUAAAGAUACCUUGUGAGUAGAACCAGUUGGCUUAAGCGCAGGCGUAGGAGCUGUUGUGCUCCUGGUUCAAGAGACUCAUAAGGAAGGUCAUUACCUAAGUCAUGGGGAGACUGGUGGCCCAAAGACAUUAGAGCUGAAGGAAAAUGGUGAUCCAGUUGGCUUAAGCGCAGAUGUUGGUAUUGUUGUGCUCCUGGAAGAUAGUGAACUGGUUGGCUUAAGCGCAGAUGUUGGUAUUGUUGUGCUCCCAGUUUCAAAACUCAUUGAAGCUCACAUUCAAGCUUGUCCCUAUACUCAGCCAAGCUUGAGGAGGGGAAUCAGUGAGCUACCAGAAGAUCCAUGAAGCUCCUAAGUGUCUCUUUUCCUCAUAGAAGGCCGGCAACAUCUAUGUGUCAAAAUAGAUGAUCAAGAAGAAGAGGUUGCAUGGCGAUUUAAUAAGGAGGGGCCUAAGUGAUCAGUCUGAAGAAGCUGGCACACCCCACCACUCUGACCAGCUAUAUUCAAGGACUCAAGGAGUAUUCAAUCAGGGAAAUUAUUGGCUAAGCAAUCACAUGAUGGUGGCAAAUUAUGGAGUUGAAAAGUGCUGAGCUUCCCUACAUGCUGAAACUUCAAGAGAAAAAUGCAAAGGCUGGUUGAGAGAAGGAAUGGCGUGGAGGAUUCAAGUGCUUAGCAAUCCUCACCAACAUUCAACAAACUGAUGCAAGGGAAGUACCUAAAACCAUUAUUAUUCUUAUGUGUGAAUAGGUUUGCCCCUUGAGAAUUGAUACAUGCAUUUUUUGGAUGAUUGAAUCAGGUACCUAUUGAGCUCAUGAACAAAGAAAAGCUUUGUCUCAACUCCUAAAUGGAGGCAAGAAGCCAGAAGAAAGGGGGGAGACAAGCUCAGGUCAUAAGAAGAAGCUCAAAGGUGAUUUGACGGUGAAGCAACUGGCGCCAAUCCAAGUCGUUCAUUGCCUCACCUCUGAUCAAAAUUGGAGUUUGCAAGUGGUGGAUUCACUCUUGCAUUACUCAGUACCAACCGGACCAAAGAAGCUCAGUUCCAAGUGUGUGAUUGAGCUUCCAUAAUCCGGACUGUGUCUUACCAAGUGGGGAUUCAAUUGGAGUCCACUCCUGACCAUUCUUAUAAAAGGGAAGCACCUUAAACUCAUCUCAAUACAUUCAUGAUUGUCCUUAUACUUAAACUAUUAUUGAGUUUGAUGUGAUGAGUGCAUUUCCUUAAGAACUGAUGCACUUUUGAAAUGAUGUAUCAGGUACCAAAAUAAGCUUGAGCCUCACUGAAGAUGAUGAUGAUGAUCCGGUCAUGUCCUAGCCUUUCUAAGAUGGCCAAAGAAGUCAGUUGAGAGGGGGAGACCCUAACCGAGUCUAUGGUUCCAUGAAGAGGUCAAGCCAAGUUCUAAAGAACAAGUAACUUUGCUGGGGGUUCAGAGAAGAUGGUCUGGUCGUUUCCUUGCCUUCCUAAGGUGGCUUGAAGCCAGUUGAGAGGGGGAGACCCUAAACCGGCCACAAAAUGAUCCAGCCGGCUACUUGUGCUCAAGGAUAGCAAGUUAUGGUGAUUCAUACUUGCUAUACCUAUUAGGCCACGAUCCAGAGCCUAAGGACUCCACCAUGAUGAAUCUGAAGUUCCUUAGGCUCACUGGCCAAUCCCUAAGCUUUGUGGAAACUCCACUCUUUUUCCCUUAGCAAGUUUUGUCCCAAUGGGUUUUCUUGCUAAGGUUUUUAAUGAGGGAGCUUCUUCAAGGUUCCAAGCUUGUCCAAGGAUCUCCUAUGGUCAAGCUUGAGGGGGAGUGUUGGAAUGAAGAAGUAAGAAGCUGGAGUUGAUGAAGAGACCAAGCUUCAAGAGCAAGCAAAUCCGGAACAAGCAGAUUUGAAUCUGUCCGUACAGUUUUGGCUUGCAAGUAACCAAACCUAACCUAGAGUGUCUUGGAAGUCAAGGCAAGUGGGGAACUCGUCCAGCUGAGCUUUCUGAAGCAUAUUUGAAGUUUAAACUAAGUAUGAGACCGUUGGAGAGAGAUCUGGCAAGUUGGAGAAUUAAUUAAGAUAAAAGUCACAUGUGCAUAAGGAGAUGAACCUGCUGUCACUUUCACCCAACCAGACUGUGCCCAUCUCUCUCUCCUGUCUCUACUCCCUCUGGUCGAGAUUCUCCUUGGCUGCAUCCUCCUGGCUCCAUCAGAAACCCUACAAUAAUAUUAGUUUAGUAAAUCUGUACUUUAACAAUUGUUUAAUCACUUGCAACUUGUAAUCUGGCUAUAAAGCCACCCCAUUGUAACCAUUACGAAAUUAAGCUGAAAGGGAGAGUUUCUCCUUUCUUCUUCA
This is a long non-coding RNA of Brassica napus (rape), 3433 nucleotides long. RefSeq lists it as uncharacterized. The transcript is spliced from 2 exons. The record is from RefSeq and is a predicted model, not a curated record. NCBI's taxonomy places the organism in Eukaryota, Viridiplantae, Streptophyta, Magnoliopsida, Brassicales, Brassicaceae.